Long non-coding RNA from Spea bombifrons (plains spadefoot toad), 1241 nucleotides. RefSeq lists it as uncharacterized. The transcript is spliced from 2 exons. The record is from RefSeq and is a predicted model, not a curated record. NCBI's taxonomy places the organism in Eukaryota, Metazoa, Chordata, Amphibia, Anura, Pelobatidae.
UAUCCACACGCAACAGUAUGCCACGCAGUUCAAAGUUCCAAAAACAUAUAUUGUGUCAAACUCAAGACAUCAUUUCUUGAGUAUUGAGUCUCGUGUCCACCGAAGCAAAGUAGAUUGACAAUAUGGUGUUUUUAUUUACAGAUGUGUAUAUCCUCAAUAUUUUUUUUUUUCUUUUAAGGAUUUGGUCCUCUUUGAACUGGAGCAGGAUCCUCCAAGCUUUUCUGGACAGGAACAAUCUGGUUUCUGCUUUGAUCCGAGAUUUACCAUGCAGAAGAAGUGUCCUCUUUGCUCUGUGGUGUUUCCUCCUAACUAUGAUCAGACCCAGUUUGAAGCUCAUGUGGAGAGUCACUGGAAGAUUUGCCCCAUGUGCAAUGAGCAGUUUCCCCCAGACUGCGACCAGCAGAUCUUCGAGAGGCAUGUUCAGACACACUUCGAUGGGAGCGUCUUAAAUUUCUAGUCAGUGUCUGAAUAGCUUUGUGAUUGUAAGAAGUGCACCUUAAAUAAUUGGAACAGCCUAGCAAUAUAAUCGUUUCUUUUUUUUGCAAGUCCUAAGUAAAUCUCUUGUAAUCUCACAUGCUACGGACUAUGGAUUUUAUCGGUAUGUGUCAGCUUUCUAUUAACAGAACUGCAUGAGGUUGUAUGGCUUAAACCCUUACAGCAGAUUGCAUGGGACUGGUAGAAAGGCUCUAUUUUCACACCAGUGGUGGCAGAUUGCAGCAUGCAUUUCACUAAUAACUCUUUCCAGCUUUGUGUUACACAUUAGUAGCCAAGCAGACGUUUGAUAUAAUAUACCCCCGUGGGAUUCCAUGACCAUGUACUUUCUAACUACCUGCAAAGAAACCUUAACGGUCUGCUGUAUCAUUUUAUCACGAGCACUUGAAAGAGCCGAAAUCCGGAGAAGCGCUCUGGAAUUGGUGGCUGAUUAAUAACCUAAUCCCAGUAUGAUGUACCCCCUGAUAAGCAAGUCAUUGGAGAAUACAAAAUACAUUUUCGUGCAGCUUAUCUAGUUGGUGGUACACUGAAAACUGAACUGUAUAAAUUAGAAAUUAUUUAAAUUUUCACGUGUUUUUGUUCUAAAAGGAAUCUUUGCUUUGUCUCAGAUUUUAGUGCGAAAAUGUGUUCCAUGGCAGCAUCAAUAUUAUAGUACAUGUCUACAAUAGUAGUCUGUAUUUGAUGAUCCCUUUACUUUUCAAAUUUUCCUUCUGUUGCAAUCCUGUUUUCAAUAAAGGAAAAUCAAUAUA